GCAGUGGUGGUUCGGUGUUAGAAUUCUUGCCUUCCAUGCAGGAGACCCAGGUUUGAUUCCCAGCCAAUGCA
RNAcentral lists this transfer RNA (71 nucleotides) under Loxodonta africana (African savanna elephant). It matches the Rfam family "tRNA". Rfam says of the family: Transfer RNA (tRNA) molecules are approximately 80 nucleotides in length. Lineage: Eukaryota; Metazoa; Chordata; Mammalia; Proboscidea; Elephantidae. The record is from Rfam by way of RNAcentral.